Molecule: unclassified non-coding RNA, 348 nt
Filed under: uncultured fungus
Lineage: Eukaryota; Fungi
Description: partial contains small subunit ribosomal RNA, internal transcribed spacer 1, and 5.8S ribosomal RNA
Rfam family: Eukaryotic small subunit ribosomal RNA (bases 1-73)
Source: RNAcentral
GCAAACUUGGUCAUUUAGAGGAAGUAAAAGUCGUAACAAGGUUUCCGUAGGUGAACCUGCGGAAGGAUCAUUAUCGAGCUACCGGAGUCCUAAAGGGCUCCGCUCUAGCCCACCCGUGCCGAAUGAACCUGUUGCCUUGGCCGGCCCGCCCUAUCGGGCCAUCGAGUGACGCUCUGGCUGUCGCUGGAUCCGUGCCGGCCGAGGAUGCGGGCAUCCCUUUGCCUUUGUGAAGGGGGUGACAUGCAGUGAAACUCGUUUUUUAAAGCACUAGAGUCUGAAGUCUUGAUGAAAUCAGUUAAAACUUUCAACAAUGGAUCUCUUGGUUCCGACAUCGAUGAAGAACGCAGC